AGAGUUUGAUCCUGGCUCAGGAUGAACGCUGGCGGCGUGCUUAACACAUGCAAGUCGAACGAUGAAGCCCUUCGGGGUGGAUUAGUGGCGAACGGGUGAGUAACACGUGGGCAAUCUGCCCUUCACUCUGGGACAAGCCCUGGAAACGGGGUCUAAUACCGGAUAACACUCCUGCCUGCAUGGGCGGGGGUUAAAAGCUCCGGCGGUGAAGGAUGAGCCCGCGGCCUAUCAGCUUGUUGGUGAGGUAGUGGCUCACCAAGGCGACGACGGGUAGCCGGCCUGAGAGGGCGACCGGCCACACUGGGACUGAGACACGGCCCAGACUCCUACGGGAGGCAGCAGUGGGGAAUAUUGCACAAUGGGCGAAAGCCUGAUGCAGCGACGCCGCGUGAGGGAUGACGGCCUUCGGGUUGUAAACCUCUUUCAGCAGGGAAGAAGCGAAAGUGACGGUACCUGCAGAAGAAGCGCCGGCUAACUACGUGCCAGCAGCCGCGGUAAUACGUAGGGCGCAAGCGUUGUCCGGAAUUAUUGGGCGUAAAGAGCUCGUAGGCGGCUUGUCACGUCGGGUGUGAAAGCCCGGGGCUUAACCCCGGGUCUGCAUUCGAUACGGGCUAGCUAGAGUGUGGUAGGGGAGAUCGGAAUUCCUGGUGUAGCGGUGAAAUGCGCAGAUAUCAGGAGGAACACCGGUGGCGAAGGCGGAUCUCUGGGCCAUUACUGACGCUGAGGAGCGAAAGCGUGGGGAGCGAACAGGAUUAGAUACCCUGGUAGUCCACGCCGUAAACGGUGGGAACUAGGUGUUGGCGACAUUCCACGUCGUCGGUGCCGCAGCUAACGCAUUAAGUUCCCCGCCUGGGGAGUACGGCCGCAAGGCUAAAACUCAAAGGAAUUGACGG
Molecule: ribosomal RNA, 893 nt
Filed under: Streptomyces sp. E4R17_pA
Lineage: Bacteria; Bacillati; Actinomycetota; Actinomycetes; Kitasatosporales; Streptomycetaceae
Description: bacterial SSU rRNA
Rfam family: Bacterial small subunit ribosomal RNA
Source: RNAcentral